UACAGGGGGUGCAAACGUUGCUCGGAAUUAUUGGGCGUAAAGCGCGCGUAGGUGGCCUCAUAAGUCCGCUGUGGAAGUCCAAGGCUCAACCUUGGAAAGCCGGUGGAUACUGUGAGGCUAGAGUACGGAAGAGGCGAGUGGAAUUCCUGGUGUAGCGGUGGAAUGCGCAGAUAUCAGGAGGAACACCAAUAGCGAAGGCAGCUCGCUGGGACGUUACUGACACUGAGGCGCGAAAGCGUGGGGAGCGAACAGG
Molecule: ribosomal RNA, 253 nt
Filed under: uncultured bacterium
Lineage: Bacteria
Description: partial 16S ribosomal RNA
Rfam family: Bacterial small subunit ribosomal RNA
Source: RNAcentral